Molecule: long non-coding RNA, 150 nt
Organism: Amblyraja radiata (thorny skate)
Lineage: Eukaryota; Metazoa; Chordata; Chondrichthyes; Rajiformes; Rajidae
Exons: 3
Source: RefSeq, a predicted model, not a curated record
AGGCAGUCUCAGGAGAGAAGAAAUGGGUGACGUUUCUGGUUGAGACCCUUCUUCAGACUGAUAUCAGGGGAGUGGGCGGGACAGAGAUAGAAUACAGUCGGAGACAGAAAGACUGGUGGGAGACCUGGGAAGGAGAGGGUAUGGAUGAGA